This is a long non-coding RNA of Rhincodon typus (whale shark), 8338 nucleotides long. RefSeq lists it as uncharacterized. The transcript has 2 exons. The record is from RefSeq and is a predicted model, not a curated record. Lineage: Eukaryota; Metazoa; Chordata; Chondrichthyes; Orectolobiformes; Rhincodontidae.
CACGGCCUCUCGCAAACGUCAAACCUUCGUCUCUUCGUGUGUUUAUGUUUAAUCUUGGAAAAAUAGAUAUAAAACAAACAAUCUCAUUUCACCUCCCUUUGAAAUACAUGAUGGAAUCAACUAAGGAGUGGAACCCUGAUCUUUGGGCUGCUCUGGGUCUUCAUACAUUUUGUGCGGAAGAGGACGUCUCAAAUUCUCUGUGGAAUAUUAACACAACAUUGGAAACACCAGUUACAAGUGAUAAGGCCAAUUUCAUUGCCAUAGAAAACAAUAGCUGUCAGCUGAUGUUGGAAGGUGCAUUCUAUGCUGCUAAGAAAAGCACUGCUCACUUCAAGUUGGGCAGUUCCCAAAUAAUGAGCUGCUGACUUGCCACUGGUCCAUCUGCUUCAAAGGGGGCUUACGUCUUACAGGUCUUGCUCAACAAGCGAAUGGAAUCUAUCACACCAGGCAAACAAGUGAAAAACAUGAAAAGAAAGAAGACACAAACUAUUCUGUUAGUAGGCUUGAAUGUCAGAACCACGUGCCGACAGACAACUUGCAGCUGGACGAUAAUAUGCAGAAGACAACAGUGAUUCACGUGGAACUUGGGCUGAAUAUCAACACGGCUUCCCUCCAAGACACCAUAUUCACAAAGAGUGGAUCACUGAAAGAAAAACAUAUUCAUCUGGUAGGGAAGGGUUCAGAGCAGGUUUGUGCACCUGGUGUAGGUUUUGUUGUAAGGAAAUUAUUAAUUUUGGUGAUGGAACUCACUCCAGCUAGUUCAAAAUAUAUUCUCCCCAUCCACUUCUGAACUCAAGCAGGGUCUGUUAACUUCAUGGGUACCUAUGCUCCAUAACAGUGCUCCAUGAUAGAGGUGAAAGACAAGUUCUAUGAGGAGCUAGGCACUGUCAAAAGAAUCCCCAAGUCAGGAUAUCUUUAUCCACUGGGGAUUUCAGUGCAAGAGUGGAUGCAAACCAUAAGACAUGGCCCUGCUACCUCAGAAAGAUAUAUGAAAACAGGCAGAAACUAAUUAAGCUUCACCACUGUCACAAGCUUUUUAACACCUUUCAGAAGAAGCCAUACCAUAAUGUUGCCUGGAGACAUCCAGGAUACAGUGCCCUGGAGACAUUCUGGUGUGACACAGUGGAUGGAACCCUUAAAAGCAGAAAUAUCAAACAUGCUGCCUACCAAGUAAAAACCAACAGUUCCUCAACACGACACGCAUUCACCAGCAUUCCAACAAUGAAUACCAAAAUAAAAUGAAACAUACCAUCAACAAUACUGCACUCUCAAAAUAUGGAAAGCAACACUAGAAAAGUGCUAACUGAUACAAGUCUAACAUCCAACUGCCCUGUCAAUAUUCCAGCAAUAGCACUGGAGACUUAUCCUCCAGAACUAGCCACAUCUGUAGCUUAGCCGCUCAGUACAGCUAUAACACUGGCAUCUAGCUGACAAUGUGGAAAACUGCCCAAAUAUGACCUGUCCACAAAAAGCGGUACAAAUCCAAUCUGGCCAAUUACCAUGCCAUCAACCAUCUUUCAAUUAUCAACAAAAUAAUGGAAGGGUUUGCAACAGUGUUAUCAAGCAGCAUUUACACUGCAGUAACCUGCUCACUGAUUCCCAUUUUGUGGUUCACCAGGACUACUCAGCUGCUGCCUUAAUUGCAGCCUUGGUCCAAACAUGGGCAAAAGAACUGAACUAAAGAGGGGGUAACAUCAAGGUGACAUCAAAUUUAAAGUCAAUGGGAAUCAGGAGAAAUAUUCUGCACUGGUUGGGAUCAUACGUAGCACACAGGAAGAUGGUCAUGGUUGUUGGAGCCCAAUUAGGGGAUGUAAUGCCCUAGUGGUAUUAUCACUGGACUGUUAAUUCAGAGACCCAGGUAAUGUUCCAGGGAUCUGCAUUCGAAUCCCACCGUGACAGAUGAUAGAAUUUGAGUUCAAUUGAGAAAAAAGCUGAAAUUGAGAGUCCAGUGAUGACCAUGAAUCCAUUGCUGGUUGUCAGCAAAACCACAUCAGGUUCACUGGUAGCCUUUAGGGAAAGUGGAGUUAAUAUUCAGUGUAUAACUUUUUCCAUAAUAUACUGAAUAUUAAUUCACUUGCCAUGGGCAAAGUUGCAAGUACUGAUAGUGUACCAUAUGAACUCAUAAAAUAUGAGAAACUGGUACUCUUGCAGCAUCUGUGAUAACUUCUCUGUCUCUGCUGCAGAAAUGGGGCAACAGCAGAAUUGCAAAAACUUGCAUGGCAGCUUCCUGUUGAGCAUCUUCAGCAAAGUAUUUGGCUAUGUUGCCCUUGUCAGACGGUAGUUCCUGCUGAAUCCAUUUACCUCAAAUCCCAGUAUUUUUCAGAACUGGAAUUUCUACAAUUGUCAUGAACUUCUCAAUCCAGCAACUGCAAUAGCAACACAGUGAUAAAGGAGACCAUUGUGCAUUGCCUUCAUUGAUCUAACAAAUGCAUUCAGCCAUGUGGACAGAGACAGUCCAUUCAAGCUGCCGUUCAAAAUUGCUCAAUGUGAUCUCUACCAUGACAAUACAAUGGGUAAGAUCAACUACAUGACAGAACAACAUCAAUGCACAGUGCAGUCGGUGUUCUGGCACUGACAGUCCUUGGCGUAUUCAUUCCUCACUUUGCUCCUGGAAUAUGCCUUCAGGAUAUUCACAGAGAGCGUCUCUUUACAGCCUUGUUUGUCUGAGUUCCAAGACAAAGAUGCACCAAGCCAUCAUCAGAGAGUUACUCUACACUGACAAUGUUACUAUCUUUCCAUAUUGAGGAAUAUCUGCAGCAGCAAAUACUCAAAAUCUUUAAGAUAAUCCUCAAAAGGCCGGUGGGGAAUCAGUAAUUAAUCUCCUAGUGGAGCUCAUUGAGUACGAGUUCCCUCGGUAACAGGCAAUGGCUGACCCAGCCGAAAGUCAUCGCCUGAACCUCACUGUUUCAGUAAGUUUGUCGGCCUUUCUCAUUCUUGCAGAAUAAGCAGUUCCUCUCCCAUUUUAGCAUUUGUUUAAGGUAGUUGCUUAGCGUAAUGAAUAAGAUGUCUGACUUCAGUAUUAACCAAGGUAUUAGCAGAAGAUUACAGGUUCAGGUCAUGCUGCGACUGUUUGCAGAGAGCUCUUUUGCAAUGGUAGUAUCACUACCUUUAAGCCAGGAGGCCCAGGUUGAAGUCCCACCUGCUCCAGAGGCGUGUAAUGACAUCUCUGAACAGGUUGAUUAGAAAAAUAGGUUAAAUUUUAAAAAUUAAUAAAGCAGACCCUGGAAGGGGAGGCCACACGCUCUUCUCUGUUCACCAACAACCAGACAUUUUUGCAACUGAUGUUUCAACCACAUCACUCAAAGGAGCCACCGAAAAGAACCCCAGCCUUGCCUGACAGUCAUAUUUUUCCUUUAAAUUACUGGAAAUAUGUCAUUUUGCCCACAAAUUUGUUAACAGAACUCACUGCUGAAUAUUCAGAAAAAAUCUAGCUGUGUUGAACUCCAAACUAUUAUAAAAAAAACUUUAAGCUUUUAAAGAUGACAGACACAUCUGCAGUGAUUGACACAAUCCUGAAAUUCAAAAGCAUGCAUUGAAAGAGAACUUGUUGACAGUUUCUUCACUAAAUCAGCUUCUCCAUCAUCAAUUUCAAAUAAAUAAACACCUCACCGACUGAGGAGGGGCUGUUGUUGAGUGAAAAAAGAAAAAAAAUAAAGCAGCCCCCUCUUCCACAGUUACAUUCAUGCCUGAAUAUCAUUGGAGAAGGAGUAUGUGGUGUCCAUCAAUGCUCUUGAUGCCUUUAGAGAGAGGUGGGCACCAAGGGCAAUAAAGUGAUUUAUUUCCUCCUCCAAUUCCAUUUUAGAACAUAGAACAGUACAGCACAGUACAGGCUCUUUGGCCCAUGGUGUUGUACCGACCUACUCUAAGAUCAAACUACACUGCAUACCCUACAUUUUAUUAUCAGCCAGAUGCCUAUUCAAGAGUCGCUUAAAUGUCCCUAAUGUAUCUGACUCCACUAUCACUGCCAGCAGUACAUUCCACACACCCACCACUCACUGUGAAAAGAACCUACCUCUGACAUCUCCCCUAUACCUUCCUCCAAUCACCUUAAAAUUAUGCCCCCUUGUAAUAGUUAUUUCCACUCUGGGAAAAAAUCUCUGGCUAUCCACUCUAUCUAUGCCUCUCAUCAUCUUGUACACCUCUAUCAAGUCACCUCUCAUCCUUCAUCGCUCCAAUGAGAAAAGUCCUAGCUCCCUCAACCUUUCUUCAUAAGACCUACCCUCCAUUCCAGGCAGCAUCCUGGUAAAUCUCCUCUGCACCCUCUCUAACCAAAACUGAACACAAUAUUCCAAGUGUGGUCUAACCAGGGUUUUAUAGAGCUGCAGCAAAACCUCGCGUAACCUCUUAUACUCAAUUCCCCUGCCAAUGAAAGCCAACACACCAUACACCUUCUAAACCAGCCUAUCAACUUGGGUGGCAACUUUGAGGGAUCUAUGGAUGUGGACCCCGAGAUCCCCUUGUUCCUCCACACUGCCAAGAAUCCUGCUAUUAACGUUGUAUUCUGCAUUCAAAUUCAAUCUUCCAAAAUGAAUCACUUCACAUUUUUCUGGCUUGAAUUCCAUCUGCCACUCCUUUGCCCAGCUCUGCAUCCUGUCAAUGUCCCGUCGCAACCUACAACAGCCCUCCACACUAUCCACAACUCCACCAACCUUCAUGUCAUUUUGAUUUAGACCCUUACUGCUCUCCUCAGCCCCUCUCACCAUUGAUGGUUUGCAUUGCCCAUAAUGGGCUUUGCAUGUAAGUACUCAGUUAGCUACUGGUGUUUUUACUGGUGGUGGUUAUUAGUUUUAAAAAAAAAGCAAAAAAGUCACCGUGAUUUUGCUGAAGGGAAGGUCACUCAGUUGUACGUAACUGUCCUGGGUAGAAAAAAUAAAAACAGACAACGCAUGCAAGGGUUUUUGUGGUGUCGUGGUAGUACCCCUACCUUUGAGCAAGUCCCACCUGUUCCAGAGAUGUGUAAUAACAUCUCUGAACAUUUUGGUUAGAAAAGUAGGUUAAAAAUGGUAGCUCAGUUGGUAGAACCUCAGCUCUGGAAUUCGAGGAUCCAUUGUUUAUGCCUUCUUUGGUGGGCUCUUGAGAUACAGAGGUAGUAUCCCUACAUUUGAACCAGGAGGCUAGGAUUCAAGUCCCACCCAUUCCAGAGGUGUGUAAUAACAUCUUUGAACAGAUUGAUUAGAAAUAUUUAGACACGGGAAUAAAUACUAUAUUUCAAAAUAUGCAAAUAAUACAAAAAAAACUAAAUUGAGAAAAGCAGACCUACACCUUACCAACACCCAUCCCCCACUUUUUAUGGUUUGCACUGCUCAUUGUGGGAUUUGCAUGUAAACUUCUAAUUGGCUGAACGGGUGAUUACUGAUGGUGGUUAAUAGUUAAACAACAAAAAAGUCAGUGAUUUGAUGGUGGAAAAGCCGUUCAGUUGUGUUUGAUAAUACUUCUGGAUUUAAAAAGUAAAAAUAUAAAACAGACCCACACCCCCGUCCUCACUAUUGAUAGUUAGCCCAUUGUGAAAUGCAAACAAUGCAAAUAUCCAAUUGACUACACAGGUGAUUACUGAUUGUGGUUGAUUGUUUAAAACAAAGAAAAACUUGGUGAUUUGGGUGGUGGAAAAGCUGUUUGGUUAUGUGUGAUAUCUUUCCCAGAUAGUAAAAAGAAAAAGCAUACAUGGAGACAGGUCUGUAGAACGGUCUGUCCCAGGUUGGGAUUAGCCUAUGUAUGCCACAAGUAGUGGCUCUGUUUUGGUGUUCAACAAUGUUGUUCCUUUCCAAUUGGGUUUCUGAGUUAUUGCACUCUCUAGUGCCAGUAAAGAGUUUGAUUUGACUGUCAGCAUCAGGAAGGCACAUUUCACAGUUUGGAAUUUUCUCAAUUUCUCUUAGCAUGGUCAAUGUGACAUUGGAGGUUGUUGAUUGCUUCAAAUAUCAGUGCCCUGCAGUCAAUCUGUCACAUUGCGUACACUGCAAAAAUCUGAAACAUUAUCUAUGACUUCUCCAUGAUCCUGGCUGGCAUACUGAAUGUUCUUAAAUUGAGACAUUUUCAUUACUUCCAAAUUACCAAAAUCCAAAGAUUAAUAAUCAUCACUUGGGAGUGGGUUGAGGGGGUGGUGGUUGAUGUGGGUUGGCAGUGUGAUGCUUAAACACACAGGCACAGCUGCCAGUUGUGAGUUGAUGUUUAGUCACUGCCUGGAAACAUGAAGCAGUUUGGAGUCUCCUUUUAACAAACCUGUUCAACAUAAACUAUUCCCUAAUCAUAUAAACUCACUAAUUUAUCAUGAACAUAACGGAAUCAAUUAGGGAACAGGCUAUCAUAAAUCUAGUCAUGCACACUGAAAAAAGAAUAAUUCUCAAUCUCAUCAUAAAGACUUCACUAAGGAAGCGUAUUCAUAAAAUAAUAAUUUGAGACAAUUCAUUUCGUACCACGUGAUAUCACAAAAUGGUGGAGGGCACUGGAUACUGCAACAGCUAUGGGCUCUGACAACAUGGGCUGAAUGGAUCUCAAUGGGUCAAAUAACCUACUUCUACUCAAAUAUCUUAUGAUCUAACAUUCCAGUAAUAAUUCUGAAAACUUGUGCUCCAGAGCUCAUUGUACACUUAGCCUAGCUGUUAACGUGCAAUUAUAAAUUUGCACAUUCCAUUUUGGGCAAAAUGGCCCACUUAUAUCUUGUUUGCAACAAGCAAGACAAAUCUGAUUAGGCCAAUUACUAAUCCUCAGAAAAGUAAUGGAAGGAGUCAUCAACAGUAUUCAGAAGUAGCGUUUCCUCAGCAAUAACCUGCUCACUGAUGCUCAGUUUUGAUGGCGGUGGAGUGGGGUGCUCUAGAUGGAGCUCAUCAACUUCCUUUUUUCUCUUUGGUGUAAUUUUUUUUCCUUCCUCUCUUCUUCUCCCGGCCACAAACUUCUAGCCUCUGACUCUUUGGCUUGGACUCAGCACAUAACCAGCAGAUGACCUCGUAGCCUGGCGUGGCGGCCUCCUGGCUUGGUAUAGUGGCCCCCCCCCCGGCCCGGCAAGGUGAACUUUCGGCCCAGUGUAGAGGACUCUCAGCCUGGUGUAGCAGACUCUCGGCCGAGCAUGGCAGUCUUUCAGCUGUACAUGACUGUUUCAGUCUGGCAUGGCCUCAGGGUGGACUUCCAGUCUCGAGGUGAUCCCUCGAAGUGUGGUCCCACCAAAGCUAAGUCCUUAAUAAAGACUGUAAUGUUUCAAACUUCUGUCUUUAUUUAUUUUCUACUUCAAACUAAGAAGGUCUGCAAUUUGUAACUUUUAACCUUAUUUCGUAUGUUUUCUGCUUUACUAUAACUACUGCAAUGUUUAACUUCCAACUUUGUUCUUAAGAUUCUGUACCUGAGAUGGCACUGUGUGGGGCGACAUUAUACACUUUUCACUGUACUCCUGUACUUAUGUACUUGAAUACACACGACAAUCAAAUCAAAUCAAAUUUCACCAGGGCUACUCAGCUUCUUACGAUACAGCUUUGGUCUGAACAUGGUCAGAGGAACUGAAUUUCAGAGGCAAAGUGAGAGUGAUUGCCUUUGACAUCAAGGCAGCAUUUGAGUAGGUGUGGCAUCAGGGAAUCCUGACAAAAUUGGAGGGAAUUAGGGGAAAUAUCACAGCUGGCUGGAAUAAUACUUUGAACAAUAGAAAAUAGGUGUAAUUGUUUGAGGUAUGAUGAAAGGUGUGUGAUUCACAUUCAUAUAAUUUAUUUAUAGUUUGGGUUUCAAUCUAGUGGCAGAUGAGUAUUGGUUACAUUGUGAAGAUCUGUAAAAAAAAACUCAGAAUCCUUUCCAGAGCCUAAUCCAGUACAAGUCAGAACAGGUGAGCUGAAGCCUUCGCGAGUGUUAAUGCAAGACUUUUUGUUUAUACUGUGGAGAUUAUGACUGGGAAUAAAUAUUGGAAAGGAUUAACUUGCUUUUGGUUUAGGAUAACCAAGGAUUGAUGUGAGCUUAGAAAAACCAAGAUUGACAGGCUUACAGGAAAGAACUGAGGAGACACAGUUAAGUCAAGAUUUGAUACAACAGGAUCAUUUAUCUGGAUUGGAAAUACAGUAAUGUGAUGGUGUUGGAGAAUAGAUUUUGUUAUAAAAACCAAAAGAACUGCGGAUGCUGUAAAUCAGGAACAAAAACAAAGUUGCUGGAAAAGCUUAGCAGGUCUGGCAGCAUCUGUGAAGGAGAAAACAGAGUUAAUGUUUUGGGUCUGGUGACCCUUCCUCAAAACCCUUGAGCUGAGCUUUUCCAGCAACUUUGAGAUUUUGUUAUGUUGUGUGUUUAAGAUCUUUCAAAUUGCAUUCUAUAUGUAAACAGCUUGCUUUGAUUUUGCUUUUUUUUGGGUAAUAAAUGUCUAUUUUAUUGAAAA